This 64-nucleotide transfer RNA is filed under the name Psylliodes cupreus. Its description in RNAcentral is "tRNA-Thr". The record is from RNAcentral. Lineage: Eukaryota; Metazoa; Arthropoda; Insecta; Coleoptera; Chrysomelidae.
GUUUUAGUAAUUUAAUAAAAAUAUUGGUCUUGUAAAUCAAAUUUAAGAAAUUUCUUCUAAAACU